Molecule: long non-coding RNA, 257 nt
Filed under: Carica papaya (papaya)
Lineage: Eukaryota; Viridiplantae; Streptophyta; Magnoliopsida; Brassicales; Caricaceae
Description: long non-coding RNA (CPAP_LNC014469)
Source: RNAcentral
UUACGCGCGAUCGGAGCCACAGUCCGCCGGCAUGAGUAGCGACAUUAAAACAUUUUGCUUAAUAUUUUAUGUGCACUUAUUUGUAGUCCACCACAUGAUAAGAGUCUCAUUACGAGAGUCUUACAUAGUAGAACAACGAAAAAAUAGGCGCAAGGGGCCUCCGUUCUUCUGGGCGUGAGUCGAAGUGACAUGGCAUUUCGCUCCAUAUUAGAACUAGAAGCAGAGAUGCAGUAUGCCCGCAGAGCGAAAUAAAUGAU